CUGACUUGAGAAGGAACUAGAGUCCCAGACACAAGCUUGACAUUCACCUUCCAGCACCAUGACUGAGGCUGCCGGAAUAGUGGCAGAAGCAAGUGAGAAGUAAGUGAGAAGGUGCAGAGGAUGGAUGUGAAGCAAAACCAUUUAUCUGGCCAUGGUAGAUUUGCCACGGCAGGGAGCCUGGCAGGAGAGGGGUCUUCAGUCAUCAGUUUCUCACUAAUUCUUGGAACCAGAGCCUCCCUGGCAUAAUGGCAAGGAAGACAAGAUUGAUUUUAUGCCCAAAAAUGUCAGAGCUGGAAGGGAACUUCCAAUGUUCUAGUCCAGUCAUUCUCAAGCUUUUUUUUUUUUUUUUGGUACCAGGGAUUGAACUCAGAACCUUGCACUUGUGAGGCAGGCAUGGUGCCACUGAGCUAAAUCCCUGGCUUUCUCAAGCAUUUUUAAAGUUAUAGAACACAUCUUUAAAGCAAUCUCACCCCUGGAAAUCAAGUGAGGAAACUGGGGCCUGAAAAUGAGAGAGACCUGUCCCUAACCUUAUGCCUACCUAGGGGCAAAGUCAGUUCCCAGAGUCAGUACCCAUGCCCCAGGGCAAUGCCCUCUGCCAAAGCACAGUUUCUGGACUCUGCACAGCUCCACACCCUCCUUUAAGAUUCCUUCUCCAUCCUUAUGCAGGUAAAACAGAAGGAGCCAUUGUACUCAGAGUCCCAGGGGACAGUGGGAUGUAGACUGCAUUGAGCUUCUGUAUCCUCUGAGCCUCCUUCAACAGAGCAGAGAAGAGUGGUCCCUCUUACAUGGCCCCAGGCACUAUGCAGUGGAGGAACCAUGUCAGUUCUGCUUUGGUAGAACAUGGUAGAAUUACUGGGGGUGCCCAAGGAGACAUGAGGUAGUCUGAGGAUGUGUAUCCAGUGGAAACCCAAUCACAUCUAGGUGUCUAGGUCCUAAUAGGAAGCAAAUGACAUCUGAAACAAAGCAUCUUAUGUCCUUAUAUAAUGAAGGGCCAGUUACAAAUGUCUGGGCAGGGCUGAAGGAACUUGUAAAGGUUGGCAGAGCAUCACAGGCUUCACCUCUCCCAGACCUGAGGGCUGUCCUGAAAGGGACUAGGAAGUCAGUUGCCUGCUGAGGGCCACACCCUCCUGAAGGAAAAUGCAACCAUUCACUGCAGGGAGGGAACAGAAACAGGUACCUGUCCUCACUUUCCUCCAGUUCUGCCCCCAUGUGCACCAGGAGCCAGGGCAAAGUAGCCUGGAUGACGUAGUUCACCCAGGUAAAUGUCAGCAUUGCAGGAAAAGAAGUAUGGCAGCAGAGGGUGAAGAAAACAUCUGCAGGAUGUCUCACUCUGUUUAAUGCUGCUGUAACAGAAUACCAUUCAUUUUUAAAGAAUAGAAAGUUACUCAGAGUCUGGAGGCUGGGAAGUCCAAUAUUAAGGUGCUGGCAUCUGGUGAGGGCUUCUUACUGGAUCAAAACCUGGUGGAAAGCAGAAUGGUGAGAGAGGAAGAAGGAGAAAGGAUUGGUGGGGAGUGUGCACUAGAAGGUGGGAACCCACCCACAGGACAAUGAUAAUGACAAAGUCCAUUCAUGAGGGCAGAACUCUCCUGACCUGAACACUUCUUAAAGGUCCCAGCUCAUUAUAUAGUUACAAGGGUAAUUAAGUCAAAUUUCAACAUGAGUUUCAGGAACCCACAUUCAAACCGCAGAAAGGGGUAAGCAGAAGAUGUCUAACACACAUCACCCAGGGGAAGCAGCAGGCCUCAGAAAGAGCUAAUUCUGCAGCUCUGAGCACACACCAGCCACUCCCAGAAGUUUUCACGGAACACAGGAACUUUGCAAGAGCUGAUGUAGGAAAGACUUUUAAAAAUAAGGUCAUGAAUGUGACCUCAUUUAUACCUAUUAAUGCCUGGGGAAACUCAGUACACUUCCUUCCUAGAGCCCUGCUCCUGUGGGGUUGGCAGUGGAGGAAAAAUUGCUUGUUGGAAGGGGGGGGGGGCUCCCCAGAGGUCCCUUUGCCCUUGGGGUGCUCUUUACCAGCAGCACUCUGGCUACCAUGGCAACUGGUGGGGCUUGGCUUCCUCUUUGCCUCUCACACUUGCAUUACUGCAUGAAUCACAACACUAACUACACCCUGAGUGACAACAGACACAGUAAAAACAUAGUCUCCAAAAAGACUGCCCUCACAUGAGAUGUUACCUCAACUUUGGGAGUCUUCCAACCAUUGGUACUCAUCACCUAGCUACAAAUGUAAGGUUUCCUCCAUCCUCUUAUCCCAUUUAAUUUGUUAAAAUAACUCAUAGAAUUCAGGAGAGCACUAUACUGGUGAUUUCAAUUUUAUCAUAAAGAAUGUAGAGUUUCUGUGUCCUCUCCACAUAAAUCCAGGAAACAUCACCUCCCAGAACAUGAGUAUUAUCACCAGCUAAGAGGUUCACCCGAGCCUUGGUGUCCAAAAUUUUUAUCAGGGCUCCAUGACAUAGACGUGAGUGAGUGAAUGAUUGGCUGCUUUAUUGAAUUCCAUCUCCAGCCCCCCACCCUUGAGACUAAUAUCACAUAGUUCAAAAUCCCAGCCUUCUAAUGGUUCAUCUUUCUGGCAUGGCAGCUGCUGUCCUUGAGUCACCUCAUUAGUAUAAACUCAGAAAUGGUCUCAGGGACUCACCAUGAAUAACAAAGACACUCCCACCACUCAGUGAAUUCCAAGGGUGUAGAAGCUUUGUCCCAGGAAUCCUGGACAAAGACCAGACAAGUUCUUAGCCUGGCUGUUACAAGGCAGAAAUAUUUCAGCUGGACCCAACCAAAGGUUAGCCCUGCGAUGGCUGGGGGUUUCCUUGGUCCCCAGCUGCUGUCUUUGCAGUAGCUGUCUGGAGGGCUGUGCAGAGGUUUCAAAGGCUACUUCCAGGACCAACUCGAAGGAGUGGCAUGAUUAACAAGUCAUGCUGGCUCUGGCACAGGAGAAGCUAAGAAGGAACAUGUGUGUUCUGUACUCACUAACCCUGACCUAAGAGAUUUUAAAGAAGGCAAUAAAUUGUACUGCUGAGUUAUAAAAAUUACUAUGCUGUUUACAAAUGAGGGUG
RNAcentral lists this long non-coding RNA (3053 nucleotides) under Heterocephalus glaber (naked mole-rat). RNAcentral's name for it is "lncRNA (ENSHGLG00000045623.1)". Lineage: Eukaryota; Metazoa; Chordata; Mammalia; Rodentia; Bathyergidae. The record is from RNAcentral.